UAUUAGCUUUUUAUGACAAGAACGCACAAGUAAUUUAAGAUACUAUUGAUACUAACGAAUAACAUUAAACCCAUAUGAUUGUAUAAGUCAGAUCACAAAUACGUAUUAGACAUCUAUACUUAAAUAUUAAUAAUUAGAGAGAUGACCAAUGUAAAAAAUUUAGGUAAUGAAAAUGUAUGUAAUUACCUAUGCGGUUAUUAUCUGUUUUUAAUAUUUGUUUUUUGUUACAAAUUCAACAGUUAUCUGAACCACAAUGAAAAAUGACACUUAUAAGUUUUAUUAGACAUGACGUGUUCACCUAAUUUUGUGAUUUAACCGGUCAUCUAUGAAAAUUAUACAGUUGGAGAAAAAUUGAGACAACAUAUCCGAUGUCGAAAACAAAAUGGAAGUUAUACGCGAUAACAGACGGAAGCCAUGCCCAUAAAAGGCGGAACCGGUUUUUGCUACACGACUGCACUAUCGCAUUAGUAUCUCAAUUGAGCUGCAGCACUUAGGAUGGUCACUGGUCAGUAGUAUAUUUUUCACCAAGCAACCAAAUUAGCUAUCACCUUUUUUUUUUAAAUUUACUUAACAGUUUUAAUAUUAUUUUAUAUAUUUACUACACUAUAUUUUAUCGAUAACUUAUCAAAAAUGGGAUAUUCAGACAGAAAAUGGAUAAAAAAAAAGUCCGUGAGUACCUAUAAA
Molecule: long non-coding RNA, 684 nt
Organism: Aphis gossypii (cotton aphid)
Lineage: Eukaryota; Metazoa; Arthropoda; Insecta; Hemiptera; Aphididae
Exons: 3
Source: RefSeq, a predicted model, not a curated record